AUCUGCCGUGUGAGUUAUAACCUCUCAUAAUUUUGUGCAUGUCACUGUGUCGAAUAUUUUUACGGUAGUUGCCCCUUGGAAUUUUUGUAAGUUUGUGAGGACUCGCAUUUUACAUGUUCUGACAUAUACAAGUUGUUCAAGGCGUAUUCGUUCGGUUUCAGCGUCGAAAAAGAUCGAAUUGGGGUUUUGAAGGAGCUACUCGAUUUGUUGAAAAGGUUGUGAGCAAUACAUCCAGAUGGCACCGCCCCCACCAUCUCCCGCUCAAGCACGACAGCUCUACAAAGCACUCAUGAGGGAAGCUCGAAAAUUUUCGAACUACAACGUCCGUGAAUAUGUGAAGAGGAGGACUGUUGUUGGAUUUCGAGACCAUGGUGCAGCGUCGGACUCUGAAGCUGCAGCCGCAGCUUACAUUCUGGGAAAAGACCAGCUGGAAUUGGCAAAGCGCCAAGCAAUUGUGUACAACUUGUAUUCUCCGGGGGUGAAGAGCAUCAUGGACUUAAGUUCUUAGAUUGUCUGGAGGCAAUCACGAAUUGUCGCUGGCAAUGGGUCAGCACCUCAUUGGACGUAUUUCGUGUCUAGGGUUUCGACAAAUUUCAAGUAUUGCAUCCACUUCCUUCUGCUGUCUGGCUCCUCAGAUCAAGCAUUUUAAUUUUAGUGGAUUAUGCCAUCGGUCCUUUACAAGACGUGAUUGCAGUAUAUGGGUGAAAUUCUACUUUGCGUAAUUUACAAUUAUGCGAUAUCUAGAAUAUCGGAUCGGGAACCUAAUUAUUUUAGGCUGAAAAUUAUAAACUCCUCGUUGUGUUUUUAGGGUCGAGAGUGUAGAAGUCUGUAUCACAAUUUAUUGGUGAAUGAAAGACAAGUUCUGAAUGGUUGGGAGCACAAACAGGGUGAUUCUUCCUCCAUGCAUUCUGGGUCGUAUGUAAGUUGGUGUUUGGGGUAAUUGCGGAUUAUCAGAACAGAGUUUCUGUGUUAUCAUUA
Physcomitrium patens is the source of this 978-nucleotide non-coding RNA. Lineage: Eukaryota; Viridiplantae; Streptophyta; Bryopsida; Funariales; Funariaceae. The record is from RefSeq and is a predicted model, not a curated record.